ACUACCAUUGAAAACAUUGUAAAAUAAUUGACUUGGUUGUGAAAGUCUAUUUUUUUGCAUUCUGAGGUGUCAAUUUUGAUUCAGACUGAAUUAAUAACACUUCUGAAGGAAAGAAAGCAAAUAUUUUGGUUCCUCUCAAAACACGCUGAAAGGAAAUGAUGUCAUAUUUUCAAUCUGAGUCACGUGAGAAGAAGUGGGGGAGAAGUGCUUGGAGAGCUUCGUCCGUUAAGACGGUUAAGAAAGAAUGAUUAACGUCCCAGCACGUCAAAGAAUAAACCUGCGGUUGGAUGUGGAAAUGCAAAGAAUGCAGCGAGCAUUUUUCAAGAAGAUCUGAGAUACUGAAACACUUGAGAAUUGACCAUCGGUUUCACGGGUGCUGAUGCAGAUUUCAGAAGGGAGUGUAUCCUCAGAGCUCUCAUCAUCUACCUGGGAGAACGUGUUGAGGACCUUAUAAAGGAAUACAUGGUCUCCCAGAAAGAUCAAGCUGAGCAGGAGCUGGAGAGGACCAUCAUGGCAGUCUUCGUCUUCAGAGAGAAUUCAAGCCUUCUACAGCAGCCCCAAGACGUUAGGAUUGUCAUUGAUGGUGUGGAAGUCCUCAAUGAGUUGCCUUCUCUUGCAGCCGGAGUGGCAAUGCUCUUUGGACUUUGCUAUGCGCUUAACAUGGAGUAUCCACAGGGUUUCAGGUUCACCUUUGAGGCCCUUCAGAAGAUCCUGAUGGAGCUUGGUUCCAACAAGAUGACUUCCAAGAUUCGCAAACUCAGUGGUGAACUCAAAACUGCACAGUAGUGUAUAUUUGUGUGUAAGCACACACAUUAGCAAUGUGUGCCUGUAGUUGCCACUGGCUUCUAUUUAAGAGGUAGACCACCUCAACAGCACUUUGUUAUACAGGCUCACAGGGUCACUUUCAUGGAGUGUUUUUGUUGGAAUUUUAGUUCUUUGAUGAUGUUUAGAGAUGCAACAUUCCUUCAAGUUCAGAUGUGUUUGACCAGUACAACAACAGUGGAUGCUUUCCAUCCAUUUAAUUUAGCUUGGUAAGCCAUAUUGUCUUUAUUUCAUUGCUCUGAUAUAGAGCAACAAUGACAUGUCUAUAUUUGUCUGAACAUGCAACUUUUUUUUGUCCUUUUUUACUUGAGGAAUAAAUAACUUUGAA
Long non-coding RNA from Xiphophorus hellerii (green swordtail), 1150 nucleotides. RefSeq lists it as uncharacterized. The record is from RefSeq and is a predicted model, not a curated record. The transcript has 4 exons. NCBI's taxonomy places the organism in Eukaryota, Metazoa, Chordata, Actinopteri, Cyprinodontiformes, Poeciliidae.